AACAGGCUGAUACCGCCCAAGAGUUCAUAUCGACGGCGGUGUUUGGCACCUCGAUGUCGGCUCAUCACAUCCUGGGGCUGAAGUAGGUCCCAAGGGUAUGGCUGUUCGCCAUUUAAAGUGGUACGCGAGCUGGGUUUAGAACGUCGUGAGACAGUUCGGUCCCUAUCUGCCGUGGGCGCUGGAGAACUGAGGGGGGCUGCUCCUAGUACGAGAGGACCGGAGUGGACGCAUCACUGGUGUUCGGGUUGUCAUGCCAAUGGCACUGCCCGGUAGCUAAAUGCGGAAGAGAUAAGUGCUGAAAGCAUCUAAGCACGAAACUUGCCCCGAGAUGAGUUCUCCCUGACUCCUUGAGAGUCCUGAAGGAACGUUGAAGACGACGACGUUGAUAGGCCGGGUGUGUAAGCGCAGCGAUGCGUUGAGCUAACCGGUACUAAUGAACCGUGAGGCUUAACCUUACAACGCCGAAGGUGUUUUG
This 475-nucleotide ribosomal RNA is filed under the name Shigella flexneri CDC 796-83. RNAcentral's name for it is "LSU rRNA". It matches the Rfam family "Bacterial large subunit ribosomal RNA", at positions 2476 to 2925 of the family's 2925-position model. The record is from RNAcentral. Lineage: Bacteria; Pseudomonadati; Pseudomonadota; Gammaproteobacteria; Enterobacterales; Enterobacteriaceae.